Molecule: ribosomal RNA, 466 nt
Filed under: uncultured bacterium
Lineage: Bacteria
Description: partial 16S ribosomal RNA
Rfam family: Bacterial small subunit ribosomal RNA
Source: RNAcentral
GAUGAACGCUGGCGGCGUGCUUAACACAUGCAAGUCGAACGAUGAAGCCCAGCUUGCUGGGUGGAUUAGUGGCGAACGGGUGAGUAACACGUGAGUAACCUGCCCUUAACUCUGGGAUAAGCCUGGGAAACUGGGUCUAAUACCGGAUAGGAGCGUCCACCGCAUGGUGGGUGUUGGAAAGAUUUAUCGGUUUUGGAUGGACUCGCGGCCUAUCAGCUUGUUGGUGAGGUAAUGGCUCACCAAGGCGACGACGGAUAGCCGGCCUGAGAGGGUGACCGGCCACACUGGGACUGAGACACGGCCCAGACUCCUACGGGAGGCAGCAGUGGGGAAUAUUGCACAAUGGGCGCAAGCCUGAUGCAGCGACGCCGCGUGAGGGAUGACGGCCUUCGGGUUGUAAACCUCUUUCAGUAGGGAAGAAGCGAAAGUGACGGUACCUGCAGAAGAAGCACCGGCUAACUACGUG